RNAcentral lists this small nuclear RNA (116 nucleotides) under Gonyaulax spinifera. RNAcentral's name for it is "partial Dictyostelium signal recognition particle". The record is from RNAcentral. Lineage: Eukaryota; Dinophyceae; Gonyaulacales; Gonyaulacaceae.
GCGAGCGCCACUGGAUGUACCGCGGCAUAGAGGAGAGCCUCAGCGACGGGCGCAAGAUCUUCAGGCUCUUCAAGGAGUUCCGGGAGGUCUACAAGAUCAGGCGGGGCAUCAACAGA